This 253-nucleotide ribosomal RNA is filed under the name uncultured bacterium. RNAcentral describes it as "partial 16S ribosomal RNA". It matches the Rfam family "Bacterial small subunit ribosomal RNA", at positions 524 to 776 of the family's 1533-position model. The record is from RNAcentral.
UACGAAGGUCCCGAGCGUUGUUCGGAAUCACUGGGCGUAAAGGGAGCGUAGGCGGUGCGGUAAGUCAGAUGUGAAAUCCCGGGGCUCAACCCCGGAACUGCAUCCGAUACUGCCGUGCUAGAGGAUUGGAGAGGUAGCUGGAAUUCUUGGUGUAGCAGUGAAAUGCGUGGAGAUCAAGAGGAACACUCGUGGCGAAGGCGCUUUGCUGGACCAUAACUGACACUCAGGGACGAAAGCUAGGGGAGCGAAUGGG